UACGGAGGGUGCGAGCGUUAUCCGGAAUUACUGGGCGUAAAGGGCGCGCAGGCGGAUCGAUAAGUGAGGCAUGAAAGCUUCGGGCUAAACCUGGAGAGGCUGUCUGAGACUGUCGAUCUGGAGUGCGAUAGGGGGGUGUAGAAUUCCGCGUGUAGUGGUGAAAUGCGUAGAGAUGCGGAGGAAUACCAGAGGCGAAGGCGGCGCCCUGGAUCGUAACUGACGCUGAGGCGCGAAAGCAUGGGGAGCGAACGGG
Molecule: ribosomal RNA, 253 nt
Filed under: uncultured bacterium
Lineage: Bacteria
Description: partial 16S ribosomal RNA
Rfam family: Bacterial small subunit ribosomal RNA
Source: RNAcentral